AGAGUUUGAUCAUGGCUCAGGAUGAACGCUGGCGGCGUGCCUAACACAUGCAAGUCGAGCGAAGCACUUUGCUCUGAUUUCUUCGGAUUGAAGAGUGAUUUGACUGAGCGGCGGACGGGUGAGUAACGCGUGGGUAACCUGCCUCACACAGGGGGAUAACAGUUAGAAAUGACUGCUAAUACCGCAUAAGGCCACAGCACCGCAUGGUGCAGGGGUAAAAACUCCGGUGGUGUGAGAUGGGCCCGCGUCUGAUUAGUUAGUUGGCGGGGUAACGGCCCACCAAGACGACGAUCAGUAGCCGG
RNAcentral lists this ribosomal RNA (302 nucleotides) under uncultured bacterium. RNAcentral's name for it is "bacterial SSU rRNA". It matches the Rfam family "Bacterial small subunit ribosomal RNA", at positions 8 to 290 of the family's 1533-position model. The record is from RNAcentral.